This 685-nucleotide long non-coding RNA is filed under the name Gallus gallus (chicken). Its description in RNAcentral is "lncRNA (ENSGALG00010000474.1)". The record is from RNAcentral. Lineage: Eukaryota; Metazoa; Chordata; Aves; Galliformes; Phasianidae.
AUGGGGUUAUGGGGAUUAAUGGGGUCAAUGGGGAUCAAUGGGGUUAUGGGGCUAUGGGUGAUGGGGUUAUGGGGCUAUGGGGUCAAUGGGGAUUAAUGGGGUGGCCCCAUAGGACGUCCCCAAGACCCCAUAGAUCACCCGUAGACCACAUAAAAUGUCCCCAAGAAGCCAUAGACCCCAUAGGAUGCCCCCAGACCCCACAUAUCCCCCCAUAGACCCCAUAGGAUGCCCCCGAGACCCCAUAGGAUGCCCCCAGACCCCACAUAUCCCCUCAUAGACCCCAUAGGAUGCCCCCAGACCCCACAUAUCCCCCCCUAGACCCCAUAGGAUGCCCCCGAGACCCCAUAGGAUGCCCCCAGACCCCACAUAUCACCCCAUAGAUGCAAUAGGAUGUCCCCAGACCCCAUAGAAUGUCCCCAGACCCCACGUAUCUCCCCAUAGACCCCAUAGGAUGUCCCCAAGACACCAUAGAUCACCCCCAUAGACCCCAUAGGAUGUCCCUGAGACCCCAUAUGGUGCUGCUGAGACCCCAUAGAACCCCAUAGAGGUGACAGUGGGACCCCAUGGAGUGCCACCAACCCCACAGAGGUGACAAUGGGACCCCAUAUUGGUGACAACGUGACCCCAUAGAGUGCCACCAACCCCACAGAGGUGACAAUGGGACCCCAUGGAGUGCCACCAACCC